CGGGCUUAACACAUGCAAGUCGAGGGGCAGCAUGGUCUUAGCUUGCUAAGGCCGAUGGCGACCGGCGCACGGGUGAGUAACACGUAUCCAACCUGCCGUCUACUCUUGGACAGCCUUCUGAAAGGAAGAUUAAUACAAGAUGGCAUCAUGAGUCCACAUGUUCACAUGAUUAAAGGUAUUCCGGUAGACGAUGGGGAUGCGUUCCAUUAGAUAGUAGGCGGGGUAACGGCCCACCUAGUCUUCGAUGGAUAGGGGUUCUGAGAGGAAGGUCCCCCACAUUGGAACUGAGACACGGUCCAAACUCCUACGGGAGGCAGCAGUGAGGAAUAUUGGUCAAUGGGCGAGAGCCUGAACCAGCCAAGUAGCGUGAAGGAUGACUGCCCUAUGGGUUGUAAACUUCUUUUAUAAAGGAAUAAAGUCAGGUAUGCAUACCCGUUUGCAUGUACUUUAUGAAUAAGGAUCGGCUAACUCCGUGCCAGCAGCCGCGGUAAUACGGAGGAUCCGAGCGUUAUCCGGAUUUAUUGGGUUUAAAGGGAGCGUAGAUGGAUGUUUAAGUCAGUUGUGAAAGUUUGCGGCUCAACCGUAAAAUUGCAGUUGAUACUGGAUAUCUUGAGUGCAGUUGAGGCAGGCGGAAUUCGUGGUGUAGCGGUGAAAUGCUUAGAUAUCACGAAGAACUCCGAUUGCGAAGGCAGCCUGCUAAGCUGCAACUGACAUUGAGGCUCGAAAGUGUGGGUAUCAAACAGGAUUAGAUACCCUGGUAGUCCACACGGUAAACGAUGAAUACUCGCUGUUUGCGAUAUACUGCAAGCGGCCAAGCGAAAGCGUUAAGUAUUCCACCUGGGGAGUACGCCGGCAACGGUGAAACUCAAAGGAAUUGACGGGGGCCCGCACAAGCGGAGGAACAUGUGGUUUAAUUCGAUGAUACGCGAGGAACCUUACCCGGGCUUAAAUUGCAGAUGAAUUACGGUGAAAGCCGUAAGCCGCAAGGCAUCUGUGAAGGUGCUGCAUGGUUGUCGUCAGCUCGUGCCGUGAGGUGUCGGCUUAAGUGCCAUAACGAGCGCAACCCUUGUUGUCAGUUACUAACAGGUUCUGCUGAGGACUCUGACAAGACUGCCAUCGUAAGAUGUGAGGAAGGUGGGGAUGACGUCAAAUCAGCACGGCCCUUACGUCCGGGGCUACACACGUGUUACAAUGGGGGGUACAGAGGGCCGCUACCACGCGAGUGGAUGCCAAUCCCAAAAACCUCUCUCAGUUCGGACUGGAGUCUGCAACCCGACUCCACGAAGCUGGAUUCGCUAGUAAUCGCGCAUCAGCCACGGCGCGGUGAAUACGUUCCCGGGCCUUGUACACACCGCCCGUCAAGCCAUGGGAGCCGGGGGUACCUGAAGUGCGUAACCGCGAGGAGCGCCCUAGGGUAAAACUGGUGACUGGGG
RNAcentral lists this ribosomal RNA (1433 nucleotides) under uncultured organism. RNAcentral describes it as "16S ribosomal RNA". It matches the Rfam family "Bacterial small subunit ribosomal RNA". The record is from RNAcentral.